UCAGAUCCAACCAGAGUUCCUGUCCUAAAACACAUUGUUCAUCAUUACAAAUACGAGCCAAAAGAACAGAGAGUUUAAUACUCAAAAAGACUGAAACCAACCAGGGACUCUAUUACAGACACAUGAACCUCUUCAUAUUUCAUCCAUUACUAUCCAAAUUUUUUAGUACAUGAAAACAUAGAGAUGAUUACACCAACAAACUCUAGAGAACCUGUCCGAGAUUUCUACAAUUCCAAUCUAAUAAUGAUUCCCGACAAAAGGAAUCGAACACAAAUCAGUUCUGUCUAUAGGCAAUGUAAUUAGCCAAAGCCAACAAAGGAGCAACCUUAUCAGAAUCAAACCCUAAAAGCUGAUCACGAGCCUCUCUAUUCAAUUUCUCAGCAAACUCUCUCGAUUUCUCCAAACCCAUAAUCUUAGGAUACGUCAACUUAUCAGCAAUCAAAUCUUUCCCAGCAGUUUUCCCUAACUCUUUCGACGAUUUCGUCACAUCCAAGAUAUCAUCAACCACCUGAAACAACAAACCAAUACAUCUCGCAAACUUUCUUAACCUCUCAAUCUCAUCAUCACUUCCUCCACCAACAAUAGCUCCCAAAACAGCAGAAGCUUCAAGCAACGCCGCCGUUUUAUGCAAAUGGAUAAACUCCAAAUGCUCUAAACCGACGUCGUUUAAAUCUAACCCUUCACUACUAAUAUCCACGACUUGACCCGCCACUAACCCUUCUGUUCCUAUCGCUUUAGCCAAUUCUCCAACGGCUCGAACCACUCUCACCGGAGAAACAACAUCAGAACUCGUCGCCGAAGCUAAAUGCUCGAAAGCGAAAGAGAGAAGCGCGUCUCCGGCUAAAACAGCGACGUCUUCACCAAACACUUUGUGGUUGGUCGGUUUUCCACGGCGGAGAUCGUCGUUAUCCAUACAAGGGAGAUCGUCGUGGAUCAACGACAUGGUGUGAAUCAUCUCGACGGCGCAAGCUGCUGGCAUAGCGGUUGAUUCUUCACCUCCGACGAGUUCACAAGCAGCGAUGCAGAGAACUGGUCUAACUCUUUUGCCACCGGCGAGAAGAGAGUAACGCAUCGCUUCGUGGAUCUUGAGUGGCUCACGGAGAGGAACAGCUGAAUCUAAAGCUUUGUUGACUAAUUCGGCUUUGGUGAUGAUGUACGACAUGAAAUCGAAAGAGGAUGGUUCAGAUUGGCGUAGAUUGUCUUCUUUUGUAACAACGGAAGAAGAAACGAUUGAAGAAGAUGAUGAAACGGUGCGUUUUGAUCGAAAGGAGAUGGGUUUAGUAAGAGUUAUAGGACAAGAUCUGGAUCUGGAUUUGGUAAGGAUUGAAGAUGGAUGAUGAUGAUUGUGGUGGUGAACAACAAUCCAUGAACCUAGAGUCACUGAAGCCAUGGCGAUUUCUGAAAUCUGAAAUUUUAGAUUUGAGAAUUUUUUAUAUUAGUAUUUAUUUUUUUUUGUUUUUUUUGGAAAGUGGAGUCAAAAUUAUGAAUGGAGAAUUGGAUUGGCCAUUAGUGAGAAGCUAGGAAGUAACAGAUAGGGUUGUGUUACGGAAUGGGCCUUGUUAGUGGUGGAGAUGACGAUCUUCACUUUUAUUGAAAAGCAUCUUUUUUCUUUUUUCACUGUUUUUGUUUUAUUGUUUUUAAGUCCAUGGA
This 1650-nucleotide long non-coding RNA is filed under the name Arabidopsis thaliana (thale cress). RNAcentral describes it as "ncRNA (AT4G36808)". Lineage: Eukaryota; Viridiplantae; Streptophyta; Magnoliopsida; Brassicales; Brassicaceae. The record is from RNAcentral.